This 159-nucleotide ribosomal RNA is filed under the name Sminthuridae environmental sample. RNAcentral's name for it is "partial 18S ribosomal RNA". It matches the Rfam family "Eukaryotic small subunit ribosomal RNA", at positions 1487 to 1650 of the family's 1831-position model. The record is from RNAcentral. Lineage: Eukaryota; Metazoa; Arthropoda; Collembola; Symphypleona; Sminthuridae.
CUGCACGCGCGCUACACUGAAGGAAUCAGCGUGUUACCCUGUCCGAAAGGACUGGGAACCCGUUGAACCUCCUUCGUGAUGGGGAUUAGGGAUUGCAAUUAUUCCCUAUGAACGAGGAAUUCCCAGUAAGCGCGAGUCAUAAGCUUGCGUCGAUUACGU